Molecule: ribosomal RNA, 253 nt
Filed under: uncultured bacterium
Lineage: Bacteria
Description: partial 16S ribosomal RNA
Rfam family: Bacterial small subunit ribosomal RNA
Source: RNAcentral
UACAGAGGGUGCAAGCGUUAAUCGGAAUUACUGGGCGUAAAGCGUGCGUAGACGGUUAUGUAAGUCGGGUGUGAAAGCCCCGGGCUCAACCUGGGAAUUGCAUUCGAGACUGUGUAGCUAGGGUACGGAAGAGGGAAGCGGAAUUUCCGGUGUAGCGGUGAAAUGCGUAGAUAUCGGAAGGAACACCAGUGGCGAAAGCGGCUUCCUGGUCCAGCACCGACGUUCAGGCACGAAAGCGUGGGGAGCAAACAGG